CCAACGGUUGGCUGCAGUGAGGAAUAUUGCGCAAUGGGGGCAACCCUGACGCAGCAACGCCGCGUGAGUGAGGAAGGUUUUCGGACCGUAAAGCUCUGUCGAGCGGGAAGAAAUGUAUCAUGGCUAAUAUCCAUGGUACUUGACGGUACCGCUAAAGGAAGCACCGGCUAACUCCGUGCCAGCAGCCGCGGUAAUACGGGGGGUGCAAGCGUUGUUCGGAAUUAUUGGGCGUAAAGAGCGUGUAGGCGGCUGGAUAAGUCAGAGGUGAAAUCCCUGGGCUUAACUCAGGAAGGGCAUUUGAAACUGGCCGGCUUGAGUAAGGGAGAGGAAAGUGGAAUUCCUGGUGUAGAGGUGAAAUUCGUAGAUAUCAGGAGGAACACCGGUGGCGAAGGCGACUUUCUGGCCCUAUACUGACGCUGAGGCGCGAGAGCGUGGGUAGCAAACA
Molecule: ribosomal RNA, 445 nt
Filed under: uncultured prokaryote
Description: bacterial SSU rRNA
Rfam family: Bacterial small subunit ribosomal RNA
Source: RNAcentral